Molecule: ribosomal RNA, 544 nt
Filed under: uncultured archaeon
Lineage: Archaea
Description: bacterial SSU rRNA
Rfam family: Archaeal small subunit ribosomal RNA
Source: RNAcentral
GUGCAGCAGGCGCGAAACCUCCGCAAUGCGGGAAACCGUGACGGGGUCACCCCGAGUGCCCCCGAUAAGGGGGCUUUUCCCCGCUGUAAGGAGGCGGGGGAAUAAGCGGGGGGCAAGUCUGGUGUCAGCCGCCGCGGUAAUACCAGCCCCGCGAGUGGUCGGGACGAUUAUUGGGCCUAAAGCGCCCGUAGCCGGCCCGGCAAGUCUCCCCUCAAAUCCUCGGGCUCAACCCGAGGGCUGGGGGAGAUACUGCCGGGCUAGGGGGCGGGAGAGGCCGGGGGUACUCCCGGGGUAGGGGCGAAAUCCUAUAAUCCCGGGAGGACCACCCGUGGCGAAGGCGCCCGGCUGGAACGCGCCCGACGGUGAGGGGCGAAAGCCGGGGGAGCGAACCGGAUUAGAUACCCGGGUAGUCCCGGCUGUAAACGAUGCGGGCUAGGUGUUGGGCGGGCUUAGAGCCCGCCCAGUGCCGCAGGGAAGCCGUUAAGCCCGCCGCCUGGGGAGUACGGCCGCAAGGCUGAACUUAAAGGAAUUGGCGGGGGAGCAC